AUUAGCUGGGCAUGGUGGUGCGCACUUGUAGUUCCAACUACGUGUUGGGAGGGUGAGGCAGGAGAAUUGCUUGAACCUGGGAGGCAGAGUCUGCAGUGAGCCACGAUCAUGCCACUCCACUCUAGCCUGGGUGACAGAGCAAGACUCUGUCUAAAAA
This is a long non-coding RNA of Sapajus apella (tufted capuchin), 157 nucleotides long. RefSeq lists it as uncharacterized. The transcript is spliced from 3 exons. The record is from RefSeq and is a predicted model, not a curated record. NCBI's taxonomy places the organism in Eukaryota, Metazoa, Chordata, Mammalia, Primates, Cebidae.